GAUGAACGCUGGCGGCGUGCCUAAUACAUGCAAGUCGAGCGAACAGACGAGGAGCUUGCUCCUCUGACGUUAGCGGCGGACGGGUGAGUAACACGUGGAUAACCUACCUAUCAGACUGGGAUAACUUCGGGAAACCGGAGCUAAUACCGGAUAAUAUAUUGACCUGCAUGGUUCCAUAGUGAAAGACGGUUUUGCUGUCACUUAUAGAUGGAUCAGCGCCGCAUUAGCUAGUUGGUAAGGUAACGGCUUACCAAGGCAACGAUGCGUAGCCGACCUGAGAGGGUGAUCGGCCACACUGUAACUGAGACACGGUCCAGACUCCUACGGGAGGCAGCAGUAGAGAAUCUUCCGGAAUGGGCGAAAGCGUGACAGAGCAACACCGCGUGAGUGAUGAAGGUCUUCGGAUCGUAAAGCUCUGUUAUUAGGGAAGAACAAAUGUGUAAGUAACUAUGCACGUCUUGACGGUACCGAAUCAGAAAGCCACGGCUAACUACGUG
This 497-nucleotide ribosomal RNA is filed under the name uncultured bacterium. Its description in RNAcentral is "partial 16S ribosomal RNA". It matches the Rfam family "Bacterial small subunit ribosomal RNA", at positions 28 to 507 of the family's 1533-position model. The record is from RNAcentral.